UACGUAGGGGCUAGCGUUGUCCGGAUUUAUUGGGCGUAAAGAGCGUGUAGGCGGCCAGGUAGGUCCGCUGUGAAAGUCCGAGGCUCAACCUCGGAAUGUCGGCGGAAACCCUCUGGCUAGAGUCCGGAAGAGGAGAGUGGAAUUCCCGGUGUAGCGGUGAAAUGCGCAGAUAUCGGGAAGAACACCCGUGGCGAAGGCGGCUCUCUGGAACGGUACUGACGCUGAGACGCG
Molecule: ribosomal RNA, 231 nt
Filed under: uncultured bacterium
Lineage: Bacteria
Description: partial 16S ribosomal RNA
Rfam family: Bacterial small subunit ribosomal RNA
Source: RNAcentral